This 251-nucleotide ribosomal RNA is filed under the name uncultured prokaryote. RNAcentral's name for it is "partial 16S rRNA". It matches the Rfam family "Bacterial small subunit ribosomal RNA", at positions 525 to 775 of the family's 1533-position model. The record is from RNAcentral.
ACGGAGGAUCCGGGCGUUAUCCGGAAUUACUGGGUUUAAAGGGUGCGUAGGCGGGGCUUUAAGCCGGCGGUGAAAUGCAGCGGCUCAACCGCUGGAAUGCCGUUGGGACUGGGGCUCUUGGAUACGGUCGGGGCGGGUGGAACUCGUGGUGUAGCGGUGAAAUGCAUAGAUAUCACGAGGAACGCCGGUAGCGAAGGCAGCUCGCCGGGCCGGUAUUGACGCUGAGGCACGAAAGCGUGGGGAUCGAACAG